CGGGUACAGUAGCUGCAUGUGCAGAUAAAAACUUACCGAGUCGAUAUUUAUUGAUUAAACUCAGGUGAUACUUAAAUAAUGUUUAAGUAGUUCUAUUUUACCAAAUUAUAUCACAAAAAAAUAAAAAGUGUUUUUUUAAUUUCAAUUUCAAUUUGGUGUUGCAAUACUUUUUUCCAUGUGUAUAUUUAAAUAAAUGUCUUUCAAACUUGUUAUAUUGAUCAAAUAAACAUAUUAUGUACUAUAGAAAUAAUGUAGGACAUUUUCUACCAUAAUUUGUUCAAGUAGGAAAUGUAUUUUUAUUUUCUGAAUAUCGUUAUGUUUUUUUAUACACUGAUCAUUUUAUCAAUAUUUAAUUAUAUGCAAACAUGAAACUUUUGUUAAUUUACUUUAAAAAAAAAAGGAAAAAACUAAUAAUGUCAUCUGCCAUUAAAACAUUUACGUAAAGCAGAAUCGUCUCUACUGUCGUUCAGAUACGUUUUGGCAUUAGUAUAAAAUACAGUUCUCAUAUUCAACAGUUGAAACAACUUGACAACUAAGGGAAGGGAAACAACAUCACUAAAGAUUAAAUUUUAACUUCAAACAAAAUAAUAGGUAAAAUGACUUGAAUGAAUAGUAGUUCUGAUGCUAAUUGAGUAUCACAGUCAUAACAUUAGUCAGCUUACUGGCUCAUUUUUUUAAAAGAAUGUUUGCGACUACGGAAAUUCCAAAUAACAUGCUUACAACUAUUUAACAAUCCUCCCGAUCAAUCAAUUUAGACUAAAAAAACAACAACCCACAAAUAUUAUUUACCUCGAUGAUUUUUCAACAUGAAGUAAAAUAGCAGCUGUGACGUAGAGAAAAAAUAUAUUCUGCUCUUCAAAGUUAAACAGUUCCAUGAAAUGCCGCAAUAAAAAAAAACCAAAUAUAUCUAAGAGGGAGAUAUAUAUAUAUGCAAUAUAUUUUCAAGGUAGUUGCUGAUACCAAUUUAAACAACAGCGUUGUUUGUAUGGAUCACACAUUUUAUUUUAGGUUUCGUUCUCCUAAAUUUCUAACAUUAAUAACAUUUUAUAACAUUAAUGCAUAUAGUAAACUAUAAAUAUAAUCUUAAAACACACUACCAUGCUGAAAGUCAUUGUCUGUUCUCAUUCUAGAAUCGUUUAUAUAGUCAAUUUAUCGUUAUUCUACAUGGGUUUAUUUUGUGCUAUGUUUAACCAUCUUGAUUUACAUUUAUGUGAUGUUUUUAUAUGAUUUUAUAUUUUUGUUUUCUGAAUAAAGUUUAGAUA
RNAcentral lists this long non-coding RNA (1262 nucleotides) under Mytilus galloprovincialis (Mediterranean mussel). Lineage: Eukaryota; Metazoa; Mollusca; Bivalvia; Mytilida; Mytilidae. The record is from RNAcentral.